AGACAUACAGGUCGAGCAAGGAUGAAAAUCGGACUUAGUGAUCCGGUGGUUCUGCGUGGAAGGGCCAUCGCUCAACGGAUAAAAGCUACCCUGGGGAUAACAGGCUUAUCUCCCCCAAGAGUCCACAUCGACGGGGAGGUUUGGCACCUCGAUGUCGGCUCAUCACAUCCUGGGGCUGUAGUAGGUCCCAAGGGUUGGGCUGUUCGCCCAUUAAAGUGGUACGCGAGCUGGGUUCAGAACGUCGUGGGACAGUUCGGUCCCUAUCCGUCGCAGGCGUAGGAAAUUUGAGAAGACCUGUCCUUAGUACGAGAGGACCGGGAUGGACGUACCUCUGGUGUACCAGUUGUUCUGCCAAGGGCAUGGCUGGGUAGCUA
Molecule: ribosomal RNA, 374 nt
Filed under: Clostridioides difficile
Lineage: Bacteria; Bacillati; Bacillota; Clostridia; Peptostreptococcales; Peptostreptococcaceae
Description: bacterial LSU rRNA
Rfam family: Bacterial large subunit ribosomal RNA
Source: RNAcentral